UCGCUAGUGGUUGACUGGUUAAGACUCUGCUUCUGAUGCAGGAGGCUCGGGUUCAAUCCCUGGUUAGUGAA
Molecule: transfer RNA, 71 nt
Filed under: Bos taurus (domestic cattle)
Lineage: Eukaryota; Metazoa; Chordata; Mammalia; Artiodactyla; Bovidae
Also listed under: 1 other name
Rfam family: tRNA
About the family: Transfer RNA (tRNA) molecules are approximately 80 nucleotides in length. Their secondary structure includes four short double-helical elements and three loops (D, anti-codon, and T loops). Further hydrogen bonds mediate the characteristic L-shaped molecular structure. tRNAs have two regions of fundamental functional importance: the anti-codon, which is responsible for specific mRNA codon recognition, and the 3' end, to which the tRNAs corresponding amino acid is attached (by aminoacyl-tRNA synthetases). tRNAs cope with the degeneracy of the genetic code in two manners: having more than one tRNA (with a specific anti-codon) for a particular amino acid; and 'wobble' base-pairing, i.e. permitting non-standard base-pairing at the 3rd anti-codon position.
Source: Rfam by way of RNAcentral